GGAGAGAUGGCCGAGCGGUCGAAGGCGCACGCCUGGAGAGCGUGUAACCGGCAAAACCGGUUCGUGGGUUCAAAUCCCACUCUCUCCGCCA
RNAcentral lists this transfer RNA (91 nucleotides) under Thermotogaceae bacterium. RNAcentral describes it as "tRNA-Ser". It matches the Rfam family "tRNA". From Rfam's summary of the family: Transfer RNA (tRNA) molecules are approximately 80 nucleotides in length. Their secondary structure includes four short double-helical elements and three loops (D, anti-codon, and T loops). Lineage: Bacteria; Thermotogati; Thermotogota; Thermotogae; Thermotogales; Thermotogaceae. The record is from RNAcentral.